UAGGGAAUAUUGCUCAAUGGGCGAAAGCCUGAAGCAGCAACGCCGCGUGUGCGAUGAAGGCCUUCGGGUCGUAAAGCACUUUUCUGAGAGAUGAGAAAGGACAGUAUCUCAGGAAUAAGUCUCGGCUAACUACGUGCCAGCAGCCGCGGUAAAACGUAGGAGGCAAGCGUUAUCCGGAUUCACUGGGCGUAAAGCGCGUGCAGGCGGUUCGGUAAGUUGGGCGUGAAAUCUCCUGGCUUAACUAGGAGAGGUCGUCCAAUACUACCGGGCUUGAGAGUGGUAGAGGAAGAUGGAAUUCCCGGUGUAGUGGUGAAAUGCGUAGAUAUCGGGAGGAACACCAGUGGCGAAAGCGAUCUUCUGGACCAUUUCCGACGCUCAGACGCGAAACUAGGGUAGUAAACGGAUUAGAGACCCGGUAAUCCUAGCCGUAAACGACUGUAGACUUGGCGUCGGUGGCUUAAACACCAUCGGUGCCGCAGC
RNAcentral lists this ribosomal RNA (480 nucleotides) under uncultured Chloroflexota bacterium. RNAcentral's name for it is "bacterial SSU rRNA". It matches the Rfam family "Bacterial small subunit ribosomal RNA", at positions 355 to 852 of the family's 1533-position model. The record is from RNAcentral. Lineage: Bacteria; Bacillati; Chloroflexota.